Molecule: ribosomal RNA, 390 nt
Filed under: Eukaryota sp.
Lineage: Eukaryota
Description: SSU rRNA
Rfam family: Eukaryotic small subunit ribosomal RNA
Source: RNAcentral
CUUGGUUUCUGUUUUGUUGGUUUCUAGAAGCCGAGUAAUGAUUAAUAGGAACAGUUGGGGCCGUUCAUAUUUCAUUGUCAGAGGUGAAAUUCUUAGAUUGAUGGAAGAUGAACUAGUGCGAAAGCAUUCGGCAAGGAUGUUUUCAUUAAUCAAGAACGAAAGUUAGGGGAUCGAAGACGAUCAGAUACCGUCGUAGUCUUAACCAUAAACUAUGCCGACUAGGGAUUGGACGAAGUUCGAAUUUUUUAUGACUCGGUCAGCACCUUAUGAGAAAUCAAAGUUUUUGGGCUCCGGGGGGAGUAUGGUCGCAAGGCUGAAACUUAAAGGAAUUGACGGAAGGGCACCACAAGGAGUGGAGCGUGCGGCUUAAUUUGACUCAACACGGGGAAA